ACAUCCCCUUUACCGCUGCUGAGGGCGCCCACACUUGUCACCGUGGCUGGCUCUUGAAAGAGCUGCUGGAGAGAUCGCCUUCCACUGCUAUCCAUAACUAAAGAUCUGCGAGUUUUAAUGCAAUAGUGAUCUAGUGCACUGUGCAAUCAUAAUUAAAGGCUCACCAGAAGAAGCAGCAGAAUGGGAACAGGAAGAAACAGACAUUUAACUUCUUGACAGAAAUAAAAGUUGUUUAACUAUUCUCCAAAGCAGCGCUGUCACUUUGAACUAUCACCACCUAUUGCACCUUUUACUCUUUGCGAUAGUAUGAACUCAAAAGACUGAACUGGGUAAUGCUGUGUGAAGGACCAUUUCAGAGAAUACAUAGGCCAAAUUAAGUAUUCCAAACAUGGAAGAAAUCCAGAAACAAGACCCAACUUACAAAAGCUGAGGUU
Non-coding RNA from Phalacrocorax carbo (great cormorant), 434 nucleotides. The record is from RefSeq and is a predicted model, not a curated record. NCBI's taxonomy places the organism in Eukaryota, Metazoa, Chordata, Aves, Suliformes, Phalacrocoracidae.